UGGGGGAUAUUGCACAAUGGGGGAAACCCUGAUACAGCAACGCCGCGUGAAGGAAGAAGGUCUUCGGAUUGUAAACUUUUGUCUUUAGGGAAGAAACAAAUGACGGUACCUAAGGAGGAAGCCACGGCUAACUACGUGCCAGCAGCCGCGGUAAUACGUAGGUGGCAAGCGUUGUCCGGAUUUACUGGGUGUAAAGGGCGUGUAGACGGGACUGCAAGUCAGAUGUGAAAUUUAUGGGCUCAACCCAUAACCUGCAUUUGAAACUGUGGUUCUUGAGUGAUGGAGAGGUAAGCGGAAUUCCUAGUGUAGCGGUGAAAUGCGUAGAUAUUAGGAGGAACACCGGUGGCGAAGGCGGCUUACUGGACAUUAACUGACGUUGAGGCGCGAAAGUGUGGGGAGCAAACAGGAUUAGAUACCC
RNAcentral lists this ribosomal RNA (418 nucleotides) under uncultured bacterium. RNAcentral's name for it is "bacterial SSU rRNA". It matches the Rfam family "Bacterial small subunit ribosomal RNA", at positions 355 to 787 of the family's 1533-position model. The record is from RNAcentral.